RNAcentral lists this ribosomal RNA (83 nucleotides) under Pseudomonas putida LF54. RNAcentral's name for it is "partial 16S ribosomal RNA". It matches the Rfam family "Bacterial small subunit ribosomal RNA", at positions 1459 to 1533 of the family's 1533-position model. The record is from RNAcentral. Lineage: Bacteria; Pseudomonadati; Pseudomonadota; Gammaproteobacteria; Pseudomonadales; Pseudomonadaceae.
ACGGUGUGAUUCAUGACUGGGGUGAAGUCGUAACAAGGUAGCCGUAGGGGAACCUGCGGCUGGAUCACCUCCUUAAUCGACGA